UACGUAGGUGGCGAACGUUAUCCGGAAUUAUUGGGCGUAAAGGGUCCGCAGGUGGCAGCUUAAGUCUGACGUGAAAUCUCCUGGCUCAACUGGGAGGGGUCGUUGGAAACUGGGUUACUAGAAUAGUGGCGAGGUCGGUGGAAUUCCCGGUGUAGUGGUGGAAUGCGUAGAGAUCGGGAGGAACCUCGAGAGCGAAGGCAGCCGGCUAGCCAACUAUUGACGCUGAGGGACGAAAGCGUGGGGAGCGAACAGG
RNAcentral lists this ribosomal RNA (253 nucleotides) under uncultured bacterium. RNAcentral describes it as "partial 16S ribosomal RNA". It matches the Rfam family "Bacterial small subunit ribosomal RNA", at positions 524 to 776 of the family's 1533-position model. The record is from RNAcentral.